AGAACUCCGAUUGCGAAGGCAGCCCGCCAGCCCGCUACUGACGUUGAGGCUCGAAGGUGCGGGUAUCGAACAGGAUUAGAUACCCUGGUAGUCCGCACGGUAAACGAUGGACACCCGCCGUGGGCGACAUACAGUCCACGGCCAAGCGAAAGCGUUAAGUGUCCCGCCUGGGGAGUACGCCGGCAACGGUGAAACUCAAAGGAAUUGACGGGGGCCCGCACAAGCGGAGGAACAUGUGGUUUAAUUCGAUGAUACGCGAGGAACCUUACCCGGGCUCGAACCUCCCCCGAAUCCGGCGGAGACGCCGGAGCCAGCAAUGGCGGGGGCGGAGGUGCUGCAUGGUUGUCGUCAGCUCGUGCCGUGAGGUGUCGGCUUAAGUGCCAUAACGAGCGCAACCCCUCCCUCCAGUUGCCAUCGGGUAAUGCCGGGGACUCUGGAGGCACUGCCAUCGCAAGAUGCGAGGAAGGCGGGGAUGACGUCAAAUCAGCACGGCCCUUACGUCCGGGGCUACACACGUGUUACAAUGGGGGGUACAGAGGGCCGCUGCACGGCGACGUUCGGCCAAUCCCUAAAUCCCCUCCCAGUUCGGACCGGAGUCUGGAACCCGACUCCGCGAAGCUGGAUUCGCUAGUAAUCGCGCAUCAGCCAUGGCGCGGUGAAUACGUUCCCGGGCCUUGUACACACCGCCCGUCAAGCCAUGAAAGCCGGGGGUGCCUGAAGUGCGCUUCCGCGAGGGGCGCCCUAGGGUAAAACCGGUGAUUGGGGCUAAGUCGUAACGAGGUAACCA
RNAcentral lists this ribosomal RNA (787 nucleotides) under uncultured bacterium. RNAcentral describes it as "bacterial SSU rRNA". It matches the Rfam family "Bacterial small subunit ribosomal RNA", at positions 703 to 1502 of the family's 1533-position model. The record is from RNAcentral.